RNAcentral lists this ribosomal RNA (1085 nucleotides) under Neisseria mucosa. RNAcentral describes it as "bacterial SSU rRNA". It matches the Rfam family "Bacterial small subunit ribosomal RNA", at positions 90 to 1173 of the family's 1533-position model. Lineage: Bacteria; Pseudomonadati; Pseudomonadota; Betaproteobacteria; Neisseriales; Neisseriaceae. The record is from RNAcentral.
GGCGAGUGGCGAACGGGUGAGUAACAUAUCGGAACGUACCGAGCAGUGGGGGAUAACUAAUCGAAAGAUUAGCUAAUACCGCAUAUCUUCUGAGGAAGAAAGCAGGGGACCAUUUGGCCUUGCGCUGUUUGAGCGGCCGAUAUCUGAUUAGCUAGUUGGUGGGGUAAAGGCCUACCAAGGCGACGAUCAGUAGCGGGUCUGAGAGGAUGAUCCGCCACACUGGGACUGAGACACGGCCCAGACUCCUACGGGAGGCAGCAGUGGGGAAUUUUGGACAAUGGGCGCAAGCCUGAUCCAGCCAUGCCGCGUGUCUGAAGAAGGCCUUCGGGUUGUAAAGGACUUUUGUCAGGGAAGAAAAGGGCGGGGUUAAUACCCCUGUCUGAUGACGGUACCUGAAGAAUAAGCACCGGCUAACUACGUGCCAGCAGCCGCGGUAAUACGUAGGGUGCGAGCGUUAAUCGGAAUUACUGGGCGUAAAGCGGGCGCAGACGGUUACUUAAGCAGGAUGUGAAAUCCCCGGGCUCAACCUGGGAACUGCGUUCUGAACUGGGUGACUAGAGUGUGUCAGAGGGAGGUAGAAUUCCACGUGUAGCAGUGAAAUGCGUAGAGAUGUGGAGGAAUACCGAUGGCGAAGGCAGCCUCCUGGGAUAACACUGACGUUCAUGCCCGAAAGCGUGGGUAGCAAACAGGAUUAGAUACCCUGGUAGUCCACGCCCUAAACGAUGUCGAUUAGCUGUUGGGCAGCAUGACUGCUUAGUAGCGAAGCUAACGCGUGAAAUCGACCGCCUGGGGAGUACGGUCGCAAGAUUAAAACUCAAAGGAAUUGACGGGGACCCGCACAAGCGGUGGAUGAUGUGGAUUAAUUCGAUGCAACGCGAAGAACCUUACCUGGUCUUGACAUGUACGGAAUCCUCCAGAGACGGAGGAGUGCCUUCGGGAGCCGUAACACAGGUGCUGCAUGGCUGUCGUCAGCUCGUGUCGUGAGAUGUUGGGUUAAGUCCCGCAACGAGCGCAACCCUUGUCAUUAGUUGCCAUCAUUAAGUUGGGCACUCUAAUGAGACUGCCGGUGACAAGCCGGAGGAAGG